CACACAGCACCCCACUAUCUGGAGGGCAAAGUGUUCUGUUUGUUUGGCCCUGGUGGUGUGAACCAGAAAUGUACACGGGGCUGUCACUGGCUGAGUAACUGAAGUAAGUAGAAAUUAACCGCAGUGUACCAAGCAAGCUUACCUUGGCAGCCAGCUUCAACGUUUUGACAAGUAUGAUUGCUCUCAACUGGAGGGUUGCCCCAGUUGCUGUCCUUGUUGCUGAGACCGGAGGGCAGAGUCUGGACAUUGAUCCUGUUUCCACACUCUUCUGGAAGAAGCAAACAUCUUCGAUUAGGUAAGUCUACCUGGGCCCCAGCACAUUAAGUGACAGGAAGAGGGAAGCAGCCAGCCCUUGCCCACCUGUGUAAGGAGAGUCCCAAUGCGUUCUGCCUACGAUGCGCCGGUUCUCCUUGGAGCAGGCCUUGCAGACCACUGCCUUCAGGUUGUGGAACUUGGUGAGCCACGAUCUCUGCAAACAGACCAGAUGAAAGAGUGGGAUUGAACAGAGCAGGGUGUGAGGUGGCAGGGGUGGGAUUCAACCUACUAGUGGUCUCUGUCCCCACAUCAAACAGUGUAGGGUCAUGCUCUGCACCAGGCGAAGAGGCUCUGCGCCUCUCCAUUACCAUGAUCUGAAGAGGGUCUUAGAUGACUGUUCCCCUCAUGAGUCCCCUGGAAAUGGCAGCAAAUACCUAUGAUGUCUGCCUCUAUCUUGUGUAGAUUAAACAGUCAUAGCUAAAAACUACUCUCCUGACAAUCUAUGAACACUUAGUGGAGGUGUUGGGGUCAAACGCCAGCAGCAGACGGGGGUCUGAUUAUUAGCUGUUCUGGUAGCUUCUUGAAUUACUAGUCAAAUUUCAUCUUAGAUAAUUCUUUUAAGUGGGCUUGGUGUGAGAUGGAGUGCUCAAUUGUGUAUUUUGAGGUACAUAGACAAGGAUAACUGGCAGCGGUGUUCCAGGGCUGCAUUUUCUUCUGCCACCGCUGCCAGAGUAACAUCCAGAUCUGAGGGAAGGGCUGCCCACUUGUUCUGCUCCUCUAAGUUCUAAACACUCACAAACCCUGCAACACCCUGGAACUUUGGUGAGAAAUGGUGACAGCGACACAUUGCCAAAUGUUUUCCCUGUGGUGUGAAAACUUGGGAGUGUUUUAUCUAACAGAUCAGCAUGUUCUCUCACAAUCACACCGCCUUCUCAUCCCUGUGGGUAAGAAAACAUUCCAAAUGAGCUUGGCGGGAGGCCUCAUUUGGAAAUCUUCCAGGAAUCAUGAAGCAAUUCUACUGAGGAGGGCUGAGUCAGUAGUCGGGGUCCCCAGGCCAUGGGCAGCCUUUCAUAGCAGAAGGGUCUUCCCCAGCUAGUCUGCUGUCUGGGGGAACCCCUCUAUAGAUGGUGCAAGCCUUCCUCUCAGCUCAUUCUCCCUACAGGAGCCACUAGCUAGGUGAACACCAAGUGCUGCUGCUGAGCACGCCAACCUCAUGUGUGGAGAACAGUUAUGGAAAUCUGCCUGCCUGCCUUGGCCUUGUGGAUCGUAUGAGUCCUUAGUGACUGCUCUUGUGCCGUGCUCCCUGCCUGCUGCCGUGCUCCCUGCCUGCUGCCGAGCUCCCCAUCAUGAUCAUCAAGGACACAUCUGUCUUGUCUCAGUGACAGAAAAGUAACUGAGACACUGCCGUAGGAAAAUAUGGGCUAUCACAAGAUGUGGCCACUAAGUCAAACUUACAAGAUCAUUUAUUGUUAGGUUUAUUCUCCUGAAAAACACAGGGAGAGAAGUCCCCUGUUUUUAAAAAUCAUACGUCAUCUCAUUUCAGUUGAAUACCAUUAAGAAUAAAAUGCCACAUGGUAAAAUCUCAAAA
RNAcentral lists this long non-coding RNA (1843 nucleotides) under Mus musculus (house mouse). Its description in RNAcentral is "predicted gene, 49668". The record is from RNAcentral. Lineage: Eukaryota; Metazoa; Chordata; Mammalia; Rodentia; Muridae.